This is a long non-coding RNA of Cyprinodon tularosa, 1802 nucleotides long. RefSeq lists it as uncharacterized. NCBI's taxonomy places the organism in Eukaryota, Metazoa, Chordata, Actinopteri, Cyprinodontiformes, Cyprinodontidae. The transcript is spliced from 2 exons. The record is from RefSeq and is a predicted model, not a curated record.
GAGAGGCAGAGCAACACUCCAGUGCCAGAGUGUUAGUCAGUCACGGUUGAACCUGUCUGAAACCAGAAACCCCCUGAAGAGUUUCUCUGUUGGAAAUCUGUCUGUCUGAUCUCAGAAGAACCCUGGAGAACCAAACCUGUCAAAGAUCUGCCAGCCUCCUUAUCGCCCUGCAUUUGGAGUUGAUGAUACCAUCUUACACCUGCUUUAAAAAAAAACACUGUCAUUUAGACGAGGCAGAUAGCCCUGUGAGGAUCAUGGUCUUUGAUUUCUCCAGUGCAUUUACUAGACAGAAUUCUGUCAUCUGCAGAAAUACUUGGAUGACUCUGCAGUCAUUGGGUGCAUCAAAGAUGGACAAGAAGCUGAGUACAGAGAGCUGAUAAACCGCAUUGUGGCAUGAUGUGGAAAUAAUCUUCUGAUCCUGAAUGUCAACAAAACAAGGAAGAUGAUUGUAGAUUUCAGAAGAACAGGAACAAGUUGAAUCCUAUUAACAUCAAGGGAGAGGAAGUACAGGUGGUUGAGGAAUAUAAAUACCUUGGUGUUCACCUACACAACAAACUAGACUGGAGACACAACUGUGAAUUUGUCUGUAAGAAGGGACAGAGCAGACUAGUUUCUAAGGAAGCGUAGGUCCUUUGGCAUUUCCAGCAAGAUGCUGCAUAUCUUCUAGUCUGUUGUGGAGAGUGUGAUCUCUUCUUCCAUCCUCUGCUGGGGUGACAGCAUUAGAGCAAAUUAUUUUAAAAAAGCUCAACAAGCUAAGGCCAGCUCUGUUCUGGGAACUCCUCUUGAACUUCUGGAGAUUAUUUCACAAAGAAGAAUUCUUUAUAAAGUGAAUAACAUUAUGGACAGCAGAAGAUUUUUAAACAACAACAGAGUGUCUUCAGUAAGAGGCUUCUCCUGAUCUGGUGCAAGACAGACCAAUACAGAAUAUCCUUCCUUCCCACAGUUAUUAACACCUACAACACAUGUUUAAAAAUAACUUAUGAGUUACUGCAACAUUUAAUUUUCCUUUGGCAUUUAAAAAGUAUUUUAGAAUUUAAUUUAUAUUGUGAUAUGAAAUUAUACAAUAUCUAUAUAGGAAAAAAUGUGACACAGUACAAUACAAUAUGAUAUAAUGCAAUAUAGUAUGGCUGAUAAUAAUAGUAAAUACAAUUGAUUUUAUGAAUACAAUAAUAAGAUUAUAUGAUUCAAAAUGUAUAAAUCAGUGUAGUCAAAUCAUAGAUAAUAUAUUGCAACAUGAUAUCAAAAAAUGGUAUGUGUUAUGAUAUCAUACAGUGAUACAAUACAUAGCAUACAUGAGCUGACAUAUGUUAGAACUGCAAUAUAAUAAGCAUGGUAAGACAUGUAUCAGUUCAGUAUUAUAUAAUAGGCAUGCAAGAUAAUGAGAUACAAAUCAAUCCAAGUAAUAGUUUGUGAACUCAAAGUAUUCUGUAUGCUGCUAUAAAUUAUAUGAUAUGAUAUUUUAUAUUUUGAACAGCCUCAAAAAAUAAAGCAACGGCAGAGAACACUCCAUGUUUAGCAUGUAGACAUUUUAAAUUCUGAAUGUGUGGAGCUUUUUAUCUUCUGUGUCAAUUAUUUUUGUUCUGAUGUUUAGAAUAUUUUGCCAUUUUUGUAGCUAUGUAUAAAAACGUUUAAUAUUGUCAAUUUGAGAAGAAGAUCAACACAAAAACUUCUCUAUUCAUUCCACCACUAGUGGAACUUCAGAUCAUUGGUAGUGUCCGCAUAAUCUUCCGAAGAAAUAUAAACUUACAAAAACACAAAUCAUAUUUUCAUGUAGAAAUGUUAAACUCUUUUCCCUGUAAAAA